GGACCCCAUCUGCCCCUGCAUCUCCGUGUGCAGCUCUUGCGAGGCCAGACGGCCACACACGGAUCAUCCUUCUGCCCGGAGGAGGAUUCUCAGGUCCACACUUUUUCUUGGCAGGUCUUGUUUUUGUUUUGCUUUGCUUUGUAAAUGAACUGGCUUUCUGAUCACUGGGACUUCCAUCCUCAGUGGGACACAAGAUCACCUGAUCCAGAAGCUCCCAGUUCCCUCAAGUGGCCAAAGCAGGUAGGGAGUGGCAACGGCAGACCACACGGCAGGGGGGGGACCCCAGGCCAGUGACCAGCUUCUGCCCCAGCCAGGUUUUGGAGCUGGAGGAGCAGCCCUGCCUUGGGAGGAGCUGCCCCGUACCCUGCCAAGUCUACACAGUGACUCACAGGUAUUACUGUACCAGGAAAGGGUGGAGAGCAGCACCCAGAACUGUGGGCAGUGAGCGGACAGUGACCCCACAUGAUGCGGAAACCUAGGCUCCACUCCAGGGCCUCAGGUGGUCCAGGGACCACCCUGGUCUCUGAAUGUACAAAUGAAAUGGGAUAUGGAUUAAAGUCAGAUCCAGACUCUGGUCUCCUGGAAGCUGGAGGUCAUCACAGGCUCACGCUGCGUCCUCGGGUGUGGGCAAAGGCCAGAACCGUUGGACGAACACACCAGUUGUCCCCACAGGCCCCUGGGCCAGAUGCCAGUUACAGACAUCCCAGGGAAGAAUAGCCAGACCGAGUUCCACCAUGAGAGUCCUACAGGAAGCGGAGAGCUGAUCCUUGGAGCUGCCCUUAUGUGUCAGUCUGGCCCGAAAAGAGCAGACGGCCCUCACCUUGGUCAGCAUCUGGGACACAGACGAUAUCCCGGAGGAUCUGCUAGCAGACUGCAUGUGAGUACGAG
This 888-nucleotide long non-coding RNA is filed under the name Heterocephalus glaber (naked mole-rat). RNAcentral describes it as "lncRNA (ENSHGLG00000050359.1)". Lineage: Eukaryota; Metazoa; Chordata; Mammalia; Rodentia; Bathyergidae. The record is from RNAcentral.